This 631-nucleotide ribosomal RNA is filed under the name Annulohypoxylon stygium. RNAcentral describes it as "partial large subunit ribosomal RNA". It matches the Rfam family "Eukaryotic large subunit ribosomal RNA", at positions 53 to 707 of the family's 3401-position model. Lineage: Eukaryota; Fungi; Ascomycota; Sordariomycetes; Xylariales; Hypoxylaceae. The record is from RNAcentral.
CANNAAGGAAGAUCAACAGGGAUUGCCCUAGUAACGGCGAGUGAAGCGGCAAAAGCUCAAAUUUGAAAUCUGGCCCUAGCGGUCCGAGUUGUAAUUUGCAGAGGAUGCUUUUGGUGCGGUGCCUUCCGAGUUCCCUGGAACGGGACGCCAUAGAGGGUGAGAGCCCCGUACGGUUGGACACCUAGCCUCUAUGUAGCUCCUUCGACGAGUCGAGUAGUUUGGGAAUGCUGCUCUAAAUGGGAGGUAAAUUUCUUCUAAAGCUAAAUACCGGCCAGAGACCGAUAGCGCACAAGUAGAGUGAUCGAAAGAUGAAAAGCACUUUGAAAAGAGGGUUAAAUAGCACGUGAAAUUGUUGAAAGGGAAGCGUUUGCGACCAGACCUUCUCCAGGGGGAUCAACCGCUGUUCUCAGCGGUGCACUCCCCCUGGUUUAGGCCAGCAUCGGUUCUCUUAGGGGGAUAAAGGCCUGGGGAACGUAGCUCUUUAGGGAGUGUUAUAGCCCCUAGCGUAAUACCCUUCAGGGGACCGAGGACCGCGCUUCGGCAAGGAUGCUGGCGUAAUGGUCGUCAACGACCCGUCUUGAAACACGGACCAAGGAGUCGAACAUUUGUGCGAGUGUUGGGGGUGGAAANA